GCUCUGCUAAAUUUUAUCCUUUCUGCUGAAAGACGAUUUGGCUCCCAGUGCUGGAAUAGCUCCCGUUACUAAAGACAGUUAUGUGACACUUGCAUGGCUCUGUUUGCUUCCCCUAUAUGCCCUUUAAGUGCAUGCCUCUACGCAGCUCUACGCACCGAGAAGAAAAUGCAGACAGAUGCCUCAUGGCGCUUUAAAAAAGAAACGUCCCGACUUUACGAUAAAGGAAAUCUGUGCUGCAACGUACAGUGGGGUGUCUUUGGUGUUUUUUUGCUUCUGCUGCAAGGUGGUGCGCAGAUGAGGAAAGAUGGAUGGUUUCCCACCGUCAACAACUGUCGACAUGAGUGCACGCACACACGCUCUGCAGAACAUCUGGAAAACUCUGCCCUGCUGACUGCGACUCCUUAUCCCACACCAAAUGAGUGAAAGCCAAAGAAAGCAUUAUUGACCUCUUAAAAUAUUUCUGAACUCUAGGAACAGUUAACCUAAAAUGAAGUUAAGAGUUGUUAUAGUUUAAUUAACUAAUAAAAAAAUGGAGGCAAAACCGCAACUCU
Long non-coding RNA from Falco peregrinus (peregrine falcon), 551 nucleotides. RefSeq lists it as uncharacterized. The record is from RefSeq and is a predicted model, not a curated record. The transcript has 2 exons. NCBI's taxonomy places the organism in Eukaryota, Metazoa, Chordata, Aves, Falconiformes, Falconidae.